RNAcentral lists this unclassified non-coding RNA (634 nucleotides) under Hevea brasiliensis (rubber tree). Lineage: Eukaryota; Viridiplantae; Streptophyta; Magnoliopsida; Malpighiales; Euphorbiaceae. The record is from RNAcentral.
UUUUUGUGCUGGAAAAGACUUAAUUGAAGUAGGAAAGACGGUUAGUAAGUUGUCGAGCCUUGAUUUAAAAGGCAUGCUUGAUUAUGGUGUGGAACAUGCAAUGGAUAAUGAGUCUUGUGAUCGAAGUAUGAAUGUUUUUCUUCAGACAGCCGAAUUAACCAAGUCUCUUCCAUCCUCAUCUGUCAGUUUUGUGGUAGUAAAAAUAACUGCAAUUUGUACACCAAAGUUGCUCAAAAGAAUGAGUGAUUUACUGAGAUGGGAACAGAAGGAUCCUUCAUUCAAUCUUCCAUGGAAGCAAAAGACGCUUCCACUUUUCGCCGAAUCGAGUCCUUUUUAUCACACGUUGAAAAGACCAGAACCUCUAACAAUUGAAGAAGAGCGUGAUCUACAAUUAGGUCGUGAUAGACUUGAGAAAAUUUGCAAGAAAUGCCUGGAACUUGAUGUUGAGUUACUCAUUGAUGCUGAAGAUACAGCUAUUCAACCAGCGAUUGAUUACUUAGCAUAUUCAGCGGCAAUUAAGUAUCACAAAGAGGAUCAUCCUUUGUUAUUUGGAACAAUUCAAGCUUACUUAAAAGACUCAAAAGAACGUAUGAUAAUCGCUAAAAAGGCAGCAGAGAAAAUGGGAGUUCCAAUG